AUACUUAUCUGGCAGGGGAGACACCAUGAUCACGAAGGUGGUUUUCCUGGGGCGAGGUUGAUCCGUUGCACUGGGGACCUGCUGAGCCCUGCAAUUUCCCAUAGGGGAUUUUUUUUUUUUUUUAAGAUUUAC
RNAcentral lists this small nuclear RNA (132 nucleotides) under Dasypus novemcinctus (nine-banded armadillo). RNAcentral's name for it is "U1 spliceosomal RNA (ENSDNOG00000026290.2)". It matches the Rfam family "U1 spliceosomal RNA". From Rfam's summary of the family: U1 is a small nuclear RNA (snRNA) component of the spliceosome (involved in pre-mRNA splicing). Its 5' end forms complementary base pairs with the 5' splice junction, thus defining the 5' donor site of an intron. Lineage: Eukaryota; Metazoa; Chordata; Mammalia; Cingulata; Dasypodidae. The record is from RNAcentral.